RNAcentral lists this ribosomal RNA (493 nucleotides) under uncultured bacterium. RNAcentral's name for it is "partial 16S ribosomal RNA". It matches the Rfam family "Bacterial small subunit ribosomal RNA", at positions 30 to 507 of the family's 1533-position model. The record is from RNAcentral.
AUUGAACGCUGGCGGCAUGCUUUACACAUGCAAGUCGAACGGCAGCGGGGAGGAGCUUGCUUCUCUGCCGGCGAGUGGCGCACGGGUGAGUAAUACAUCGGAACGUGUCGAGAAGAGGGGGAUAACCACCCGAAAGGGUGGCUAAUACCGCAUAAAUUCUGAGGAAGAAAGCUGGGGACCUAGGAAUAGGCCUAGCGCUUUUGAGCGGCCGAUGUCGGAUUAGCUAGUUGGUGAGGUAAAGGCUCACUAAGGCGAAGAUCUGUAGCGGGUCUGAGAGGAUGAUCCGCCACACUGGGACUGAGAAACGGCCCAGACUCCUACGGGAGGCAGCAGUGGGGAAUUUUGGACGAUGGGGGCAACCCUGAUCCAGCCAUGCCGCGUGUAUGAAGAAGGCCUUAGGGUUGUAGAGUACUUUUGUUAGGGAAGAAAAGUUAGCUGUGAAUAAUGGCUGAUACUGACGGUACCUAAAGAAUAAGCACCGGCUAACUACGUG